This 460-nucleotide ribosomal RNA is filed under the name uncultured bacterium. RNAcentral's name for it is "partial 16S ribosomal RNA". It matches the Rfam family "Bacterial small subunit ribosomal RNA", at positions 338 to 795 of the family's 1533-position model. The record is from RNAcentral.
CCUACGGGAGGCAGCAGUGAGGAAUAUUGGUCAAUGGCCGGAAGGCUGAACCAGCCAUGCCGCGUGAAGGUCAGUGCCCUAUGGGCGUUAAACUUCUUUUGUGCGGGAGCAAUAAUGGUCACGUGUGGCCAGACGAGAGUACCGUACGAAUAAGCAUCGGCUAACUCCGUGCCAGCAGCCGCGGUAAAACGGGGGAUGCAAGCGUUAUCCGGAUUUAUUGGGUUUAAGGGGUGCGUAGGCUGUGAGGUAAGUCAGCGGUGAAAUGCCCCCACUCAACGGGGUGAAGUGCAAUUGAUACUGCCUGGCUGGAAUGCGGAUGCCGUGGGAGGAAUGUGUGGUGUAGCGGUGAAAUGCAUAGAUAUCACACAGAACACCGAUUGCGAAGGCAUCUCACGAAUCCGCGAUUGACGCUGAUGCACGAAAGCGUGGGUAUCAAACAGGAUUAGAUACCCCAGUAGUC